UACUAACUAAUCUAUUAAGACCUAGACAACCAGGUGAGGGGAUUUACUAACUAAUAUAUUAAGACCUAGACAACCAGGUGAGGGGAGUUACUAACUAAUAUAUUAAGACCUAGACAACCAGGUGAGGGGAGUUACUAACUAAUCAAUAACCUUAAUUGAUCGAUCACGUACAAAGGUGAAGUGAACCUGAAGACACUCGGCCCUCUGUGGAAUUGAGUUUGAGACCACCGUUAGAUCAACUGGCAGACCCGUAACUACCUAAAUGAGGGAAACAAAAGCAGGUGCUUCCACACAGGUGUGGCUCCCUGAAUUAAUUAAGCAAUUAACAUCUCAUGCUUGGCGUCAUGUAUAAAAAAAAUGCUGUGCGGCCUGUUACCAUGGCUAUGCCCCCCCCCCCAAGGAUGACAAUGUCCCAAUCCACAGGGUACGAGUGGGCACUGAUUGAUUCGAUGAGCGCGAAAACAAUGUAAACCAGAUCUCAACCUCAAUUGAUCACUUUACGUGAGGUUCUGGACCGUCACCUGAGACGGUGCUUCUCCACCACCAUCAACAUAACACCAAAUGAUGGAAUUUUCUCGUGGAAGAAUUGGUGUCACAUCCCUCCUGUAGAGUUCCAGACACUAGAAUCUAUGCCAAGUUGCAUUGAAGCUGUUCUGGUGGCCUUAAUUAAGGCACUUUGUAGGUAUUUCCUUUUAUUUGGACAGUUACCUGUAAGUGAGGGGGGGGGGGUGCUGUAUGGGUACCGUAGAGAGAACAAUUGAUAUAGUCUAUGAUAGACCAGACAGUACCGUGUGUUAUUUAGAGUUACAGCAACCACUAUAAAGAGAAUACUGUGUCUUACAGACCUGCCAACAACACGUUUUCGAAACCCUCUCGGCUUAGCUACUACUUCUUAAAGAUGAAACUUGGGCAACAUUUUAUCUCUACCUAUUACUACUUACUCUUAAGAUGGCUGCCUCUUAGUAGGGUUAAAAGAAAGAUGUGCUUUUAAAAGACUGGUUGACCCUUUUCCCGUUUCUGAUUGAAGCAGAGCUAUGUGGCGACGUACUGCUCUGGCCAGGUUUGGUAUCCAACAUAGUUGUUUGGAACCGUGCUGCAAAUAUCUAAGCCAGCACAGUUUGGUUCGGGCCCUAUAGUGUGAAAAGCGUAUUUAAUCUGACUGGUGUUUUAUAUAUAUACUGGUGUUUUAUAUAUAUAUAUAACACCAGUCAGAUUAAAUACACUUUUCACACAUAUAUAUAUAUAUAUAUAUUUAUAUUGAAUUCUGCUGCUCCUGAGUUGAAGCUCUGCUAGACUCGAGCCCUAACUCUACGCUGGGUUUGUUGUCCUUGAAGAAAAGAGGAUAAAGACAAGAAAAUGCAAGUGUAUUUUAUAUUUUGUUUUUAUGUUCUUACAGUGUUAACACUAAGACAAGGAUGAUAUGUUUGGAAAUGAACAUUAUGCUUUUAUUGUGAAAUCAAUCGUUUCUUUAUUUUUUAUUUUUUUUAUUUCUAAAAAAACAAAAACAAAUGUUUUUUCAUUAUUCCAUUGUUUGUUAUCCCCAUGUCAUGAAGAACAGUUUCCAUGUCUGUGAUUUCAGAUGACAAGAUAGUGUAUUGUGUGAAAGCAUAGCCCCCCUCUAUUGCAGGUGAAUUGUUAUGUACUUUCCUGUAGUAGCACCUCCUGACCUAAAGGGGUGCUGUGGUACAGGUCCUGUAUGCUAGAACGUUCUCGCAGUAUUCAGGUAAAAACCAAAUUACUACUUUAUGUGAUCGACUGGGGGUUUCGAACCAAUUCAGGCCAAUGCCAGAUAAGUUGGUCCAUCUUUAGCCCAGCGGGCCUGACUAAAUUGGGGGUCAUUGCGGAGAAUGAUUGUUAUUUUGCUCAUAAUGGGAAGCAUCAGGCAACAACAACAAAAAAUAUGCCACUGCAGCUGCUUCAAUGAAAGAAAAAUUGUUUUUAAAAAAUGGGCCAGUGUGUUAGAAAUGCCAGGGCUGAUUUAUUUUCCCAGUCUGCCCCUGAAGGGCAGGGUAAAGGUUCAGACAUAGCUACACUUCCCUCCAUGUCUCCUGUCCCCAGUAAAUAAAACCUUCAAUAUAGCUCUUUCAAAAUAAGAUAGAUUGAUACAACACCAUUCAAUCUCCAAUAGUUAUCUUCUGAAUUACUAUUUUGCCCAUUUCAGAAUUUAGUGCCUUUUUUGGACAGUAGACUUCUGUAAUUUAAAUGUUUUUGUACAGUUUCUUUGAUGGAUUUUAUUUUAUACUUGUGUUUAUUUUUAGUAUGAUAUAUAUAUAUAUAUAUAUACAUAUACACACACACACACAUGAGAAUAAAGCUAUAUCAAUGUGACAA
This is a long non-coding RNA of Oncorhynchus gorbuscha (pink salmon), 2331 nucleotides long. RefSeq lists it as uncharacterized. Lineage: Eukaryota; Metazoa; Chordata; Actinopteri; Salmoniformes; Salmonidae. The transcript has 2 exons. The record is from RefSeq and is a predicted model, not a curated record.